CCCAAAGUGCUCGGAUUACAGGCGUGAGCCACCGGACCUGGCCAGCAGGUAACAUUUAUUAAGUAUCUACUAUGCCUUAGGCAUGGUGUUAAUGUAUAACUAUUAUGUUUAAUCCUUACAGCAGUUUACAAAGUACCAUAGGUGGUAUGCAUAAUGAAGCAGAUCUAUUGAUGUAUUUACUCAAGGUGAUUAAGCUACUAGGUAGUGGAAUUCUAGUGGGUCUAGAUCUGGACUUGAUGGCUGAGUUCUUACUAAUAUACCUUGCUACUUUGGAAGAGGAAUAGAGUUUCAACAUGUGUUGGGCAGAAUAUUCAAAGCUAAAGAAAUAGCUUGCACAAGGUAGGGAGAUGGGAAAGUGAAGUGUCUGUGGUGAUGAACUGAAGAGUAUUGAAAGUGGACAAUAAGACUAGAAAGGUAAAUUAAAGCCAGAUUUUGGAGGCCUUUCAAAGCUGUUCACAAUGUUUAAACUUUAAUCUGUAGAUGAGGGGAGCCAUCAAAGGAUUUUUCAACUAGGGAGUGACACUAGGUUUCAGGUUUGCUUCAUUAGCAGUAUGGAGUAUGUGUUUGGAAUCUCCACAGGGGUCAGUACAGAACAGGAUGACACUGCUAGGAGUUGGUUCUCAAUAUGUUUCUUCAUUUGGUAUAUUGAAAUCAGUAAAAGUAAAAUAUUUUGGAAAUCUCAGGUUUCCUGUAUUUCAAUUUUUUUAUGAUGUUAUUUGGUUAGAACUCCCCAAGGCAUUUUAUUUCAUAUCAUGUUUCUCAGCCCAUUUGAUAUCUUCCAGGAUUUUUCUACAGUUCUCCACUUCUGUUUAUUUUGGAACCAGUUGAAUAUGAAUAACUAUUGCAGACAAUUGUUUUCAGCUAUUUCAGAUGGGAAAGAAUAAGGACAUAGGUUUUAAGGAGAGCUAAUGCAGGUUGCUGUUUGAACAACUGGAGAAGGAUGACAUGGACAGAGAGAAGGGGGAAUUAAAGGAGUUAUGCAGGCCAGCAGAGGAAGAAAUGAUCCCUUUUCUGCUUGCACAGGAGGAAGAAAUUUAUGACCCUCAUCCUUUUAAAUGAUAGCCUGAACGCUGGGCUGUAGAAUCAAAUUUAUAAGUCAUUUUGAAAAUCUUUCUUUUGGCUUCACCUGACUAUAUUACCUAAAGGAAAAAAAAACACAUGGUGCUUUUUGUUCAUGUAUUUAAAACAGAACAUACAGUGGUCCAUUUGAGGGUUUUUUGCCAGAGAAUUUGGCACUGUUGAGAAAACAAGAGCUUUGAAAAUCCAGGCAAACAUGACUUAACUUUUCAACAGCUUAUGGUGAGUUCUGUGAUCUUGAACAGGUUCUCACUUCUUUGAACCUCUUUCAUUUUCUAUAAAAUGGAGAUACUGGCCGGGCGCAGUGGCUCACACCUGUAAUCCAAGCACUUUGGGAGGCCGAGGCUGGCAGAUCACGAGGUCAGGAGUUCAAGACCAGCCUAGACAACAUGGUGAAACCCCGUCUCUACUAAAAAUACAAAAAAAUUAGCUGGGCGUCGUGUCAGGUGCCCAUAAUCCCAGCUACUCGGAAGGCUAAGGCAGGAGAAUUGCUUGAACCCAGGAGGCGAAGGUUGCAGUGAUCCGAGACCGCACCACUGCACUCCAGCCUGGGCAAGAGCGAGACUCUAAAAAAAAAAAAAUUGGAGAUACUAUUAUCUAGUUCACAACAUUCUUUUUAUUUUUUACUUUAAAAAAUCUAGUAGGCUGGGUGCCAUAAUCUCAGCACUUUGGGAGGCCGAGGCAGGCAGAUCACUUGAGGCCAGGAGUUCGAGACCAGCCUGACAAACAUGGUGAAACCCCGUAUCUACUGAAAAUAUAAAAAUUAGCCAGACAUAGUGGCAUGCACCUGUAAUCCCAGCUACUCGGGAGGGUAAGGCAGGAGAAUCACUUGAAUUCUGGAGGCGGAGGUUGCAGUGAGCCGAGAUCGUGCCACUGCACUCCAAGCCUGGGCAACAGAGUGCGACUCCGUCUCAAAAUAAAUAAAUAAAAAUAAAAAUACAAAAAAAGUUAGCCCAGUGUGGUGGCACAGGCCUGUAAUCCCAGCUACUCAGGAGGCUGAGGCAUGGGAAUCACUUGAACUCAGGAGGUGGAGGUACCAGUGAGCCAAGAUCGUGCCACUGCACUCUAACCUGGGCAACAGAGCCAGAUUCUGUCUGAAAAAAAAAAAAAAAAAAAAAAAAAAAAAAAAAAUCUAAUAAUACAUGCUUGUUGGAAGUUAGCAACAUACAAUUGUAUUUUAAAAAGUAAUCAAAUCUUAUUUUAUUUCCCCAUUCUAAUUCCAGGUUUGUUGUUUAUCUUUGUGUAUUUUUGUCUUCUGCAUACACAGCUUAAUGUGGAAGCUCUCUUAACCUUAACCUUCACUUGACUGAUUAAUUGGAGCAGAUAUCCUCCUUUUCCUAAACUCUAUUCUGUAAUAUGUUCAAGCAUUUCUGCAAACUCUACUCUGUAAUGCACUCAAGUGUCUCACCAGUCAAGUUGUAUUCCUGACAAGAGGCAGUUAUAUUUGCUCCCAAACUAGUGUGUGCUGGUUAUGUUUGUCACAUGUGUUUAAUUAAACACUACAUAAACCUGUAAAA
This is a long non-coding RNA of Homo sapiens (human), 2594 nucleotides long. RefSeq lists it as uncharacterized. The record is from RefSeq and is a predicted model, not a curated record. NCBI's taxonomy places the organism in Eukaryota, Metazoa, Chordata, Mammalia, Primates, Hominidae. The transcript is spliced from 2 exons.